UACGUAGGUCCCGAGCGUUGUCCGGAAUUAUUGGGCGUAAAGGGCUCGUAGGCGGUUCGUCGCGUCGGGAGUGAAAACUCGGAGCUCAACUCCGAGCCUGCUUCCGAUACGGGCAGACUAGAGGUAGGCAGGGGAGAGCGGAACUCCUGGUGUAGCGGUGGAAUGCGCAGAUAUCAGGAAGAACACCGGUGGCGAAGGCGGCUCUCUGGGCCUUACCUGACGCUGAGGAGCGAAAGCGUGGGUAGCGAACAGGAUUAGAAACCCCUCGUAGU
This 272-nucleotide ribosomal RNA is filed under the name uncultured bacterium. Its description in RNAcentral is "partial 16S ribosomal RNA". It matches the Rfam family "Bacterial small subunit ribosomal RNA", at positions 524 to 794 of the family's 1533-position model. The record is from RNAcentral.